AACAGCGGUAAGGGCCGCCCAACCACCUCCUGUCUGCUUCUUUAAGUAGAAGCCGUGCCUGCUCCUCCAUCUUUCGGUGGCUGUGAAGCUGGCGAGGUCCCUGCCGGGCCGAAGACGUUGGAUCUUACUGCCCUGGCACUUCGAUCCUCGCCCGAAGGCCCGCAAUAAAAUGUUUUGAUCCCAACGAUGGUGUCGGUGUUUCUUACCGCGACGCGCUGCCUUUGAGCCCCCGCCGCGCCUGCGCGUGGCGCCGGGGGUCAGGCUGCAGCGCCAGAGCACAGGCUUGCGCAUAACUGGGGCAGUCGGCUCUUCGCCGGCGGCCCUUUUAACCGCAAGCGACACUGCGGCACCGCGCUGCGGGAGGCGAGUUUCCCCGGGAGGAGGGGACAGUUGUGACGACUUAGCUGUUAAAGCCAAUGUUGAAAUGCCCCAGACGUAGGGGGAUCCUGUAGGCUCAGCUGCUUAGUUCCCUGCACGUUCUUUGUACCUGCCUUUAAGCCUCGACUGGCUUGGUGUGAUCAGUGAGACUUGGAGCUUCAGCCAACCGCGGCUUGGAUGGUCUCGAGUUGAGCAACGGGCCACGGCCUUGAGCAGUUUAAGGGCGUGGUGUACUUGACACCCUUAGGUCUUGAGGUGCAUGAAGUUACCUGGCUACGGUGUAGCCGCGACCUUUUUACAGAAUAUUUAGGGCCAACUGCUCUUUUGGAUACCAUGCCAAGGUCAGGCAAAUGAAUGUCGUCUCAUUCAGCCUAAACGGCUUACAACAGGGUCGUUGUGAAGAGUUAGAUUUUACACAUUACAGGAUACAACACAGGCACCUAAAUUAAGUGCACAAUCCUUUGGAAUUCAGGUUCUAGAUGCUGAACGAUCUGAGUUUAGUUGGGAUGUGCGUCCGUCCUGAGUACAAGGUAGCACGUGUUGAGGGGCAAGGAUGCACAAGUGCAGGUAAACUGCCCUGGCCCUUAACUGAAGGGGGCCCAAGGUAACAUGACUACUCGGAUAACUACCUCCCUCGCGCUAAGGUGUGACUACCUACGAUCGUUAAAAGGGCUGGUCCAGUGAUCACUCAGGAAAUUGAAGUGCUUGGCAACAGAGGGCCCAUGUGCCUUAGACCCACUGCUCUGUGCCUGUUGCUAAACAAGAUUCAGUAGAAAAAACUUAGAUGCUUAUCUAGUAUUUGACGAGAUAUUUAUUUUGUGAAAUAAUGCAAGCGAUUGUACAUCCCCACAUACCGUUGAAGUGCAAUAGGGUACAGUCAUGUGUGAUCUCUACACAGUAGUGCAUCUAGUCCUUUGCCUUUAGUUAUUGCACAGAAAUAUAAAGACCAGUGUAACAAGACAUGCGGACUGACAAGCAAAUUGGCCUACACAAUGAGAAAUUAGAACAGUACACCAGCUGGAAUGGUCAAAUAAUUUAAACGAAAUGGUUUAAUAGUGUAAUUAAAGUAAUCGAAUAAGGGUUCAAAUAUUUUUUCAAUAUAUUAAUUUAAAGUCAUGUUCAGGCAAGGUGCAGUUUUAAAAAAAAAACCACUAUUAGCUUAGUCCACAGAUGUAAGAUCAAAAGUUACCCAGGGUAAUUUUGAUGUUGAAUGAAGCUUUAAACAAAAUCAUUUUAAAGUACUUCUCGAAGCAAAUUACACAAUUAGAGCCUCCACACUUGUAAACUAAACAUUCUGACACAAAUGCACAAAAUAAAGUUGGCAACAUUGAAGAAA
Molecule: long non-coding RNA, 1714 nt
Organism: Pteropus alecto (black flying fox)
Lineage: Eukaryota; Metazoa; Chordata; Mammalia; Chiroptera; Pteropodidae
Exons: 2
Source: RefSeq, a predicted model, not a curated record